AACGAACGCUGGCGGCAUGCCUAACACAUGCAAGUCGAACGAAGCCUUCGGGCUUAGUGGCGCACGGGUGCGUAACGCGUGGGAAUCUGCCCUUGGGUUCGGAAUAGCAGUUAGAAAUGACUGCUAAUACCGGAUGAUGUCUUCGGACCAAAGAUUUAUCGCCCAAGGAUGAGCCCGCGUAGGAUUAGGUAGUUGGUGGGGUAAUGGCCCACCAAGCCGACGAUCCUUAGCUGGUCUGAGAGGAUGAUCAGGCACACUGGGACUGAGACACGGCCCAGACUCCUACGGGAGGCAGGAGUGGGGAAUAAUGGGCAAUGGGCGAAAGCCUGAUCCAGCAAUGCCGCGUGAGUGAUGAAGGCCUUAGGGUUGUAAAGCUCUUUUACCAGGGAUGAUAAUGACAGUACCUGGAGAAUAAGCUCCGGCUAACUCCGUGCCAGCCGCCGCGGUAA
Molecule: ribosomal RNA, 449 nt
Filed under: uncultured bacterium
Lineage: Bacteria
Description: partial 16S ribosomal RNA
Rfam family: Bacterial small subunit ribosomal RNA
Source: RNAcentral